CACAUGCAAGUCGAGGGGUAACGGGGAGCUUGCUCCGCCGACGACCGGCGCACGGGUGCGCACCGCGUAUGGAACCUACCUUGUACAGGGGAAUAGCCUUUGGAAACGAAGAUUAAUGCCCCGUGGUACCACGCCCCGGCAUCGGGAUGUGGUUAAAGCCUUCGGGCGGUACAAGAUGGCCAUGCGUCCCAUUAGCUUGUUGGUAAGGUAACGGCUUACCAAGGCUACGAUGGGUAGGGGCCCUGAGAGGGGGAUCCCCCACACUGGUACUGAGACACGGACCAGACUCCUACGGGAGGCAGCAGUGAGGAAUAUUGGACAAUGGAGGAGACUCUGAUCCAGCCAUGCCGCGUGCAGGAAGAAUGCCCUAUGGGUAGUAAACUGCUUUUAUACAGGAAGAAAAAGAGCUACGUGUAGCUUACUGACGGUACUGUAAGAAUAAGGACCGGCUAACUCCGUGCCAGCAGCCGCGGUAAUACGGAGGGUCCGAGCGUUAUCCGGAAUUAUUGGGUUUAAAGGGUCCGUAGGCGGGCCGAUAAGUCAGGGGUGAAAGUUUGCAGCUCAACUGUAAAAUUGCCUUUGAUACUGUUGGUCUUGAGUUAUAGUGAAGUUGCCGGAAUAUGUAGUGUAGCGGUGAAAUGCAUAGAUAUUACAUAGAACACCGAUUGCGAAGGCAGGUGACUAACUAUAUACUGACGCUGAUGGACGAAAGCGUGGGGAGCGAACAGGAUUAGAUACCCUGGUAGUCCACGCCGUAAACGAUGGAUACUAGCUGUCCGGAACCUUGAGUUCUGGGCGGCCAAGCGAAAGUGAUAAGUAUCCCACCUGGGGAGUACGUUCGCAAGAAUGAAACUCAAAGGAAUUGACGGGGGCCCGCACAAGCGGUGGAGCAUGUGG
This 897-nucleotide ribosomal RNA is filed under the name Maribacter sp. Sydgb13. RNAcentral describes it as "bacterial SSU rRNA". It matches the Rfam family "Bacterial small subunit ribosomal RNA", at positions 52 to 944 of the family's 1533-position model. The record is from RNAcentral. Lineage: Bacteria; Pseudomonadati; Bacteroidota; Flavobacteriia; Flavobacteriales; Flavobacteriaceae.